CGUAGUCAACCUACCUUUUAGUGGGGAAUAACUAGCCUAAAGGUUAGCUAAUACCGCAUACGAUCGUCGAGUGGCAUCACUUGACGCUGAAAGCAGCAAUGCGCUAAGAGACGGGACUGCGUCCCAUUAGCUAGUUGGUGGGGUAAUGGCCUACCAAGGCACCGAUGGGUAGCUGGCUUGAGAGAGCGACCAGCCACACUGGAACUGAGACACGGUCCAG
Molecule: ribosomal RNA, 220 nt
Filed under: uncultured bacterium
Lineage: Bacteria
Description: partial 16S ribosomal RNA
Rfam family: Bacterial small subunit ribosomal RNA
Source: RNAcentral